GACUGAAGGAAGGGGAUUGUGUUUAAGACCUUUGAGCACAAGAACAGACCCUUUGCCACCUCUCGUCAACUCCCCUGCUCCGUGAUGGUCCAAACUGGUUACAGUCAUGAAGUCAUCCCAAAUGAAAUGUUAUAAGUCCAUCUAAAGCCAGUAUGAAGGUGCAGUGUUAAGAAACUAUACAAUGAGAGUUUAAAAAGGACUUCAACAUUAAAUCAUCCAGGGUUUGAUUCACAAUCACCCUGAAGCUAUUCCAGAUAUUAGUUUUGGCACCUUCACCAGGCAGUGACUCAUGGGAAAAGUGAAUCAACAGUAAAGAGACUGAUGUAUCAAAGUGAACUGGCCUUAGUAAACACCUGGACUGUGAGGAAAAUAAUAGGAAAAUGCCACUCCAGACAGACAGAGUCAGAGUCCUCUUACUUGAUCCACUCAUUUGAUUGCACUCUAGAUUUGGUACAGAAUCAUCUCCACUCCACGUAUUCAGGGAGAAAACUCCAGUAUUGAAUCAAAUCCACUCCACAUUUUCCAUUGCACCCUGUGUUUUUCCCAGCCCACUCUGAAUAUCUGGAUUACCCAACUGAAAUGCUAAAGGAGGCAAGGGAGUUUUGGAUUGAAUAAAAGUUUGAUUAUUUAAGAUCUAAGGAUUUUGGUUAUAACUGGCUCCAAGCAGGAAGUCCCGAACAUCAUCAGGCUGAAAUGCCUCCAAAGAGACGCGAGCAGGCAACUGUGAUAAUGUGAUCCAGCACAGUAAUCAACAGCACAAGCCGCCACAACUUUCCCCAACUUUGUGCAAUGUUCAGCUUUGAAAGAAUCUGGACGGAAAUGUUUAGAAGCAAUCCUCCUUCACCUGAAGAUGAAGCCGAAGAGUCUAUAAAACAACUGAAUAUUAAUGCGUCAGUAUUUAUCAUACGUUUUAAUAAACAUUACCAGAGCAUGCUCGAAAGUGUUCAGAGCUGUGGAAGGAUGAGUGAAAGAGUCAAACAAUAUCGAUACACUCUCAAAGCCUGUGUAGGUUUGAGCUUGUUGCUUGGAGUAUUGACAAUCGUUGUUGCUGUGGCUGUCGCUUUAGAUCAGGGUACCUUUGCUAUAGAAAUAAUGAGCGUGUUUGCUAUUGGCUUUCCUUUUGUUGUGAUAUUAAUGUUGUGGGAAGAACGGCAAAAAAGCAUGACCAUCGCCAGAUCGUCCAUUGAAGACUUCAGGAGAAAGGUAUCAUUACUAAACCCCAAGUUGGAGAAAGUGAAGCGUGUAUGUGAAGAGCUACGGAGAUCUUCCUGGUCCGUUCUCGGAGGUACAGAGAGAGUGAACAUCAUGAGGCUGGAGCAGAGUGUGCUGGAGGUGUUUGUCCUCACUGAAGGUCUCAGCAUGUCCGUCUCUCCAGACUCAGUCACACAGGUUUAUGAGGAGUACAGAAAAACUCUCUCCGAACUGGACAAGAUGAAGGUUCAACUAAACUACUACACUGGAACAGCCAUAAUACUAGCAUCAGAAUGUCAAUGAUGAAGCACUGUUUUAAAGGUUCAAAUGUGGUUGUGGGCAGAGUUUAGGUGUCUAGUCCUUCAAAGACAUUGUUGCAUGAGAACCAUGUGGACUGUGACUGUCUUAUGGUUAACAAUAUAAUGUAGAAGGAGGGAAGUGGACAUGUCUUCAAGCUGAGCCAUGUUUGUCUUUCAGGGUUCAACACUGGGUGCGUGACCACACUAAACUUAUUCAUGUGUGAUUCUUUUCUAAAACAGUGAGUUACUAGGUGAAUUGCUACAUAAAUAAAUAUAUAUAUACUGUAUAUCCUUGUGUAAAAUGUUCUAAACAGUAUGUCCAAGUGUGUAACACUUUAAUAUCUGAGAUAGUGACAUUAGAACAUUUAUGAUAUUGAUUCAGUGGUAAAUACAAUCUUUUUACAAAAUGGGAAAAUGCUCUGGACUGUCUGAAAAUUAAAGGGGUAGUGGUGUUAUAUUGCCAGUAAUUGUUGAUUUUACUUUGUUGUAACUGCUGCAUUUGAUAUCACUUAUCUCAUAGAAUCCUUA
Molecule: RNA transcript, 2018 nt
Organism: Periophthalmus magnuspinnatus
Lineage: Eukaryota; Metazoa; Chordata; Actinopteri; Gobiiformes; Gobiidae
Exons: 2
Source: RefSeq, a predicted model, not a curated record